ACCUCGAGUGCCAGGUUACAAAUCUGGCUGUCGAGAUGCCUAAAAAGCAUUUCAUAGCAAGGGCCGGGCAAGACCGGUGCCAGCCGCCGCGGUAACACCGGCGGCUCGAGUGGUAACCGUUAUUAUUGGGUCUAAAGGGUCUGUAGCCGGCCGGAUAAGUCUCUUGAGAAAUCUGGCAGCUUAACUGUCAGGCUUUCAGGAGAUACUGUCUGGCUCGAGGCCGGGAGAGGUGAGAGGUACUUCAGGGGUAGGGGUGAAAUCUUGUAAUCCUUGAAGGACCACCAGUGGCGAAGGCGUCUCACCAGAACGGACCUGACGGCAAGGGACGAAAGCUAGGGGCACGAACCGGAUUAGAUACCCGGGUAGUCCUAGCCGUAAACGAUACUCGCUAGGUGUCGGCCACGGUGCGACCGUUGUCGGUGCCGUAGGGAAGCCGUGAAGCGAG
Molecule: ribosomal RNA, 445 nt
Filed under: uncultured archaeon
Lineage: Archaea
Description: bacterial SSU rRNA
Rfam family: Archaeal small subunit ribosomal RNA
Source: RNAcentral